This 207-nucleotide ribosomal RNA is filed under the name uncultured bacterium. RNAcentral describes it as "partial 16S ribosomal RNA". It matches the Rfam family "Bacterial small subunit ribosomal RNA", at positions 568 to 774 of the family's 1533-position model. The record is from RNAcentral.
CACGUAGGCGGCGAUUUAAGUCAGGGGUGAAAGCCCAGUGCUCAACACUGGAACUGCCCUUGAGACUGGAUUGCUUGAAUCCGGGAGAGGUGAGUGGAAUUCCGAGUGUAGAGGUGAAAUUCGUAGAUAUUCGGAAGAACACCAGUGGCGAAGGCGGCUCACUGGACCGGCAUUGACGCUGAGGUGCGAAAGCGUGGGGAGCAAACA